GGCUCUGUGGUGUAUAACAUAUUAGAUUGCAAAUCUAAGGAUGCAGGCGAAAGCCUGCCAGAUCUU
This 66-nucleotide transfer RNA is filed under the name Robinsia catherinae. RNAcentral describes it as "tRNA-Cys". It matches the Rfam family "tRNA". Rfam says of the family: Transfer RNA (tRNA) molecules are approximately 80 nucleotides in length. Their secondary structure includes four short double-helical elements and three loops (D, anti-codon, and T loops). The record is from RNAcentral. Lineage: Eukaryota; Metazoa; Chordata; Actinopteri; Anguilliformes; Chlopsidae.